GGGAGUUGCCCCGGGUAAAGGCAGUAGCAGGUACUCUCGCGAGAUACAAAUUGCCCUACCACUCUAGUGCAAGAUGGAGAAGCAAAUGUAACACGCAUUCGAGAUUGUUAUAAGAAACUGAAAAGCAAGCCAAGGAUGAGAAUGGUGGAGCCAUUGAACCGAAGCCAUUUCUGGUAAGUACUUAAUUUCCUAUAUUGACAAACUGUUGUGGGGAAAUACGUGUGUGUGUGUGUGUAUAUAUAAAAUAUAUAUAUAUAUAUAU
This is a long non-coding RNA of Gasterosteus aculeatus aculeatus (three-spined stickleback), 262 nucleotides long. NCBI's taxonomy places the organism in Eukaryota, Metazoa, Chordata, Actinopteri, Perciformes, Gasterosteidae. The record is from Ensembl.